RNAcentral lists this non-coding RNA (20 nucleotides) under Arabidopsis thaliana (thale cress). The record is from RNAcentral. Lineage: Eukaryota; Viridiplantae; Streptophyta; Magnoliopsida; Brassicales; Brassicaceae.
AGGAAAUUUUUUGGCGCCAA